RNA transcript from Diospyros lotus (date-plum), 1654 nucleotides. RefSeq lists it as uncharacterized. The transcript has 3 exons. NCBI's taxonomy places the organism in Eukaryota, Viridiplantae, Streptophyta, Magnoliopsida, Ericales, Ebenaceae. The record is from RefSeq and is a predicted model, not a curated record.
AUAUUACACACACAGAGACGAAGAGAACCCAGAAGCCAAAGAGGCUCCAGCUUUUUAGAUGGUUACUUGGUUCCCUUAAGAAGGGUAACUCUACUAUUUGGCAUAUCUAGAGAGAGAGAGAGAGAGAGAGAGAGAGAGAGAUGGGGAGAGGGAAUCAGAAUCAUUCAGCUGAGACAACAAGAUCCAAUUCCAGGAUUUGGCAAGAAGAGGGCCCGGAUCCUCUGGAUGAACAGCCUGAAAUCCUUGAAUCUGCAGGCGAAUCCAUGGAGAACAAUGACAGUGAACUAGAGCCAAAUGGGUCGGUAAAAGAGAAGACGAUGAAGAAGAAGAAGAAGAAGGAGAAGAAGGGGGUGUUCCUUGAAGGGUAUGUGGAGGCAGGAGGGGAAGAAGAGGAUCUAACAAGGACCAAGAGCUUGACGGAUGAGGAUUUGGAGGAGCUAAGGGGCUGUUUGGACCUUGGAUUUGGCUUCAGCUACGAUGAGAUCCCUGAGCUCUGCAACACCUUGCCGGCUCUAGAGCUCUGCUACUCCAUGAGCCAGAGGUUUCUCGACGAUCAUCCCCACAAGUCGCCGGAUUCCGCUGCCUCCCCCGACGAGACCUCUUCUCCGCCGCCCUCUGGCCCCAUUGCCAGUUGGAGGAUCUCUAGCCCUGGUGACCACCCCGAAGAUGUGAAAGCCAGGCUCAAGUUUUGGGCACAGGCUGUGGCGUGCACUGUCAGAUUAUGCAGCUAGAAGAAAACACCCCCGUCGAGAAUUUGAUAGCUUAAGACCUUCCAUUGAGAGCUUGUCCUCCAUAAUCCAUUUGAUCCUUUAUAGGAGCUGCCUGCAGGGUCUACAGUUCCUUCUAUUCUUUACCUGGAGUUGGACAGUACAGAGUCCGUCAGUGAUGGGUUGGCUUUUAAAGUAGAGGGGGAGGGAGAGAGGAUGCAGUGUGUUUCAGGUCCGACUUCCGAGAUUAACCAAAUACCCAAUGAGAGUCUAACAUAAUUCACCUGAGGCUGCUCUAAUGUUACAUUUAGAAUAAACUACAAUGCGAAUAAGUUUCUUCUCCUUUGAUGUGUGCAUUCUAUUCGUAGUCAUUGUUGAUGUUUCACAGUGUUUCAUAGUAUUCUCUCUUGUUGUGUAUGCAGUGGUGAGAGAGCCUCCAUUGGAGCUUCAUCAGCUACUUGGAGAUCUCUGCAUUGCUGAGACCACCUGCCAAAGGAGAUGCGCGAUUUGCAAGCUUUAUUCCAUUAGAUGGGGUCUACUACAUGAAUUGUGGGUUUCCGGGGUUGUAUUAUCUACAGUGAUUUGUUAAUCCUGACUCUGGCCAUUUGUCUUGGGUUGAGACUGCUCAUAGUCUGCAAGGAAAGAAAAUUUUGGGGAAAAGGUCAAAGAAGGAAGCUCCCUCAAUGAAUAAUGGGAGAUAUGGUGAUGCAUGCACCUUCCACGAAUCUUCCUUCCUUCUGUAUCAUUCAUAUCUGGCUGGCUGGCUGGCUGGCUUUUAUUACACAGAGAGAGAGAGAGAGAGAGAGAGAGAGAGAGAGCUCCGAUUUAUUUUAGUUGCACUGUUUUGUCUGUUUGAACGCAAAGCCAAAGGUGUGAAAAGUAUGCAUUUGAUGAGUUAGGCGCAGCCGAGGAAGAAAGUGAGUUGAAGCAUGAGGAAAACAUGGCCG